GGCUCAGAUUGAACGCUGGCGGCAUGCUUUACACAUGCAAGUCGAACGGCAGCGCGGGGCAACCUGGCGGCGAGUGGCGAACGGGUGAGUAAUACAUCGGAACGUACCCAGAAGUGGGGGAUAACGUAGCGAAAGUUACGCUAAUACCGCAUACGUUCUACGGAAGAAAGUGGGGGACCUUCGGGCCUCAUGCUUUUGGAGCGGCCGAUGUCUGAUUAGCUAGUUGGUGAGGUAAAGGCUCACCAAGGCGACGAUCAGUAGCUGGUCUGAGAGGACGACCAGCCACACUGGGACUGAGACACGGCCCAGACUCCUACGGGAGGCAGCAGUGGGGAAUUUUGGACAAUGGGCGCAAGCCUGAUCCAGCAAUGCCGCGUGAGUGAAGAAGGCCUUCGGGUUGUAAAGCUCUUUUGUCAGGGAAGAAACGGCUUGGGUUAAUACCUUGGGCUAAUGACGGUACCUGAAGAAUAAGCACCGGCUAACUACGUGCCAGCAGCCGCGGUAAUACGUAGGGUGCAAGCGUUAAUCGGAAUUACUGGGCGUAAAGCGUGCGCAGGCGGUUUUGUAAGUCUGACGUGAAAUCCCCGGGCUCAACCUGGGAAUUGCGUUGGAGACUGCAAGGCUGGAGUCUGGCAGAGGGGGGUAGAAUUCCACGUGUAGCAGUGAAAUGCGUAGAGAUGUGGAGGAACACCGAUGGCGAAGGCAGCCCCCUGGGUCAAGACUGACGCUCAUGC
RNAcentral lists this ribosomal RNA (734 nucleotides) under Massilia aerilata. RNAcentral describes it as "bacterial SSU rRNA". It matches the Rfam family "Bacterial small subunit ribosomal RNA", at positions 21 to 752 of the family's 1533-position model. The record is from RNAcentral. Lineage: Bacteria; Pseudomonadati; Pseudomonadota; Betaproteobacteria; Burkholderiales; Oxalobacteraceae.